This 111-nucleotide small RNA is filed under the name Escherichia coli str. K-12 substr. MG1655. RNAcentral's name for it is "small regulatory RNA PspH". The record is from RNAcentral. Lineage: Bacteria; Pseudomonadati; Pseudomonadota; Gammaproteobacteria; Enterobacterales; Enterobacteriaceae.
GAUAAUCAAAUCUGUCACUAUUGCGCCUCUAACAGAUUCAUCGUGCUGUACCCUACAUACAGCCGAACUAUAAAAAGAAAGGGCUUCCCAGGUGGAAGCCCUAUUUCUUUU